AAGAGCAUAAUUUAAUGGUAAAAUAUAAAGCUUCAAACUUUAGUUUCUUAGUUCGAAUCUAAGUGCUUUUG
RNAcentral lists this transfer RNA (71 nucleotides) under Pertusaria propinqua. RNAcentral's name for it is "tRNA-Trp". It matches the Rfam family "tRNA". Rfam says of the family: Transfer RNA (tRNA) molecules are approximately 80 nucleotides in length. Their secondary structure includes four short double-helical elements and three loops (D, anti-codon, and T loops). The record is from RNAcentral. Lineage: Eukaryota; Fungi; Ascomycota; Lecanoromycetes; Pertusariales; Pertusariaceae.